RNAcentral lists this ribosomal RNA (444 nucleotides) under uncultured bacterium. RNAcentral's name for it is "partial 16S ribosomal RNA". It matches the Rfam family "Bacterial small subunit ribosomal RNA", at positions 354 to 796 of the family's 1533-position model. The record is from RNAcentral.
GUAGGGAAUAUUGGGCAAUGGUCGGAAGACUGACCCAGCCAUGUCGCGUGCAGGAAGACGGCCCUCUGGGUUGUAAACUGCUUUUAUCUGGGAAGAAAAAGGCCAUGCGUGGCAAAUUGCCGGUACCAGAUGAAUAAGCACCGGCUAACUCCGUGCCAGCAGCCGCGGUAAUACGGAGGGUGCGAGCGUUGUCCGGAUUUAUUGGGUUUAAAGGGUGCGUAGGCGGCUGAUUAAGUCAGCGGUGAAAGACUUCGGCUUAACCGGAGCAGUGCCGUUGAUACUGGUUGGCUUGAGUGUCGGAGGGGUACAUGGAAUUGAUGGUGUAGCGGUGAAAUGCAUAGAUACCAUCAGGAACACCGAUAGCGAAGGCAUUGUACUGGCCGACAACUGACGCUGAUGCACGAAAGUGUGGGGAUCGAACAGGAUUAGAAACCCCUGUAGUCC